GCAAUCCACCCACUUCAGCUGUCCAAAGUGCUGGGAUUACAGGCAUGAGCCACUGUGCCUGGCUAGAACAGUGAACUUUUAUCAAGCAUUUACUAGGUACCAGGCAUCAUGCUAAACACUUUUCAGGUAAUUAUUGUGGUUAAUUCUCACAAGAAAACUAUGAGUUGGGUACUAAUAUUAUUUCCACUUACUGAUGAGGAAACUGAAGCACGGAGAGGUGCUGUAAUUAGUCCAAGCUUGCUGUGGUUUUAGCGCGUUGCUUCAGUGACUCUCUGCACACCAAGCCUGGGGCCACUUCUCUGGAUGAAGUUUCCAUGGCUUCCCUGAGGCCUCAGCAGGACUUGGCCCAUGGUUGUUUGAGUUCUGUCUUUGAAUCCGUGGAACCUUGGCCCACAUCCAGGGUGGCAACUCCAUACCUCAGGCUGGAUGAAGAGAACGUGGUGUGCAGGACAGGGGGCACUCUUCAGAAUUUUGCCCACAAACAUCCAAGGUUUGGGUAGAAUAAAUGUAGCUAAAUGAGUGGAGAAUGAAGGACAGGCAUAAAGGAAAACUCUAAGUCCAGAUACAAACUGGAGGCUGCAAGAAUAAGGGCAGUGGAAAGACCAUGGGCUUGAGAGCCAAGAUAACCCAAAUUUGAAUGCCAGUGCUUUGCUAGUGAGAUGAUCUUAACAAGUUACUUACUCAUUCUGAGUCUGUUUUCCUUUCUGAUAAAAGAGGGAUAAUAACCUACACAGAGGACCUGGAACUAUCUCAGUGCUUUCUAAAAUAUGUUAGGAAAGAGGAAACAAGUGUCAAGGACAAGAAUGUGUUUUAAGAAAAAAGAUAAAAGGAGGAUGAGUUUGCAGAGAAAACCUCCGUGCUGAAAGAAUUCCUGGCAAUUGAUUGCUUCACCCACGCCUAACAACUCUAGGUCAAAGGGGCAGAAUGUUUGACUUAAAGGUAAGAUGACCAGCCAGGACCUAUUACCAAUUUAACACUGUUUUUAGACCCACAUCAGAAAAAGCCAACAUGUAACUACAUUCUUAAGGUGGCAUAAUAUCAUAAGGACAGAAAUUAGAAAGUAAAGUACUUGAUUGCCUAAUUUUUUUUUUUACUAUUAUUUUUUAAACAGAGAUGGGGUCUUGCCAGGUCUUGGCCAGGCUGGUCUUGAACUCCCGGACUCAAGCAACUCUCCUGACUUGGCCUCCCAAAGUGUUGGAAUUACAGGCAUGAGCCACUGCAGUAGCCCUGAUUGUUUUAAAUAGAAGAAGGUCUUUAGACAAACUCAACCAAUUGUCAACCAGAAAAUGUUGGAAGUUCCCUCCUACCCCGCCCGCCUUUGAGUUGUCCGGCCUUUCUGGACCUAACCAAUGUAUUUCUUAAAUAUAUUUGAUUGAUGUCUCAUGGCUCUUUAAAUGUAUAAAAGCAAGUUGUGCCCCAACCCCGGCCACCUUGGGCACAUGUUCUCAGGACCUCCUGAGGACUGUGUCCACAGGCCAUGGUCACUUAUAUUUGGCUCAGAAUAAAUCUUUUAAAAUA
Molecule: long non-coding RNA, 1518 nt
Organism: Homo sapiens (human)
Lineage: Eukaryota; Metazoa; Chordata; Mammalia; Primates; Hominidae
Exons: 2
Source: RefSeq, a predicted model, not a curated record